Long non-coding RNA from Pseudopipra pipra, 2591 nucleotides. RefSeq lists it as uncharacterized. Lineage: Eukaryota; Metazoa; Chordata; Aves; Passeriformes; Pipridae. The record is from RefSeq and is a predicted model, not a curated record. The transcript is spliced from 2 exons.
UAUUCCUAGAAAAACACACAGUUUCCAUUCAAAGCACUGAAUCUCUUCUCAAACAGUUCAACCCAGUUUAGAGUGUGGUUUCACACUAUUACAAUGUUGUUCUACUCCAGAGAUGCACUCUUUGUUUCCUCAGCUGCAGCCCUGCUCCUUCUGCCCUUCAGGCUCCAUAACUGCACUGUGCUAAUGGAAGGCCUGUGUGGUCACACAGCUGUGCAAAUGAGAUUUUAGGGACCUCCCUGCCCCCCAUUUUUAAAACAUUCAUCCCUUCCAAGGUUCUUUUUCAGCUGAUAUCCUUUUAAGCCACAUGCUGAGCUGCAACAGCACAACUGAGGGCAGCAGAGAACCAAAGUCUGCUUCGCAAAGCGCUGUGGUCUGACAAGAAUACUUGGAACCACAGUCCCUGGAACAACCAUCACUCUUCCAGCUGAUACAGCAAUCUGAUAAUCAGAAGUGACACCUCAUCACAUGCAAUGGAAAGGAUUAAAAGUUAACCCUAAAGGAACUGUCCUUUUGAUCAUCUAAUGCCCAUAUGGAUGGCUCCCAUGAAUCCACUGGUCAUCCUUCUGUAUGUGAGUCUUCUUACAUAGUAUACUUCAAAUUCCUUCAGUUUGGAAGUUCACUAAGGCUAACUCAAACCUGGAUUGGGGUAGGAUACUUCCUUUACACCUCCUUCACAGUCAAGGAGACUGAGAACACUAAAGUUUAUCAAAUGUUGCUGUCACCCCCUGAAGUCAAGCAAUCCCUUCUUGCAAGAAAUCAAAGCCUCUAAACUUGGAGGGUACUGUAAUAAAGAUCUCAUUACACUUCUUGGGUUUCAAACAAUAACAGUACACUACAUGUCAGUAUUUCUUAUAUUAUUAAAAUUGCAGAACAUGUUGUUCUGAAGGUGGAAGGUAUUGCCCUUCAUAUAAUCAAGAUAAGACAAACAGGUGUUCUACCAGAACUAUUUAGAAUGGGACCUACAGUAAAUUUUUAAAUCCUAGGCAGUUUUAUUCUGCUUUGAAUGAGUGAUAACAGCUGAAAAAAAAGCCCUAUAUAGUAAAUCCCCACGACAAAUCUGACUGUGGAAAACUGGAAACCACUUACUUUGCGACACGUGAAUAUUUAACCUUAUUUCUAGUCUCCUGUUCACUUGGAUUGGCUUUUCCGUGGAUUUCUUCACCCUUUGGCUCUUCAAGCAACUCUUCAUCAUUUUCUCCUGCAUCCUCUUCCUUAGCUGCAUCUUUUGGGGGCAUGGGCUUCAAGCCAUCGAGCUCUGUGUCACACUGCCACACACAGAGAGCUGCAUCCUGGCUAAUUGUGUACAGCUAGAACACAAACACAUGAUUAUUGUCCAACACCUCAGCUUUGUGCUCUACUGCUAAUAUAGACCUGCAGAAGGGUUAGCAAGUGUGCACUCUGUUGUUAGGACAACACAUUACUUAGCCCUCCUAGAAUCUGAGGCGUUUUGAUCUGGAAAUUUCACUUCUCCUGAGAACCAGUGAUUUACUUUACGUGCCCUCAAAAAUUUUUUGCAAGGACCAAAGGUAAUUUGAUUACCGGGUAACAUUACAGUUAAAUAAUUUUUUCAUGUUUAAAAUUAUAAUAUUUUAGGGGAGCAAUUUUCAAUAGCUUACUCACAGUCUAAAGUUUAUUUUUUUAAAUAUCCAUGGAACUGUAAACUGCCAAUCACAGCAGAGGAGUCAAGAGACAUAUUGCUUAUGCACUUUCUAAAUUCUGAGAUAUUGUCAAAAUAGUCAUCUACAGGUAAGACUGUGCUUCAACUAUUUAAAUAUUAAAAUUUAAGAAUGUUGUGUGAUUAUACAUACAUCUAGACUGUUCUCUUCAAAAAAGCAGGCUACAAUUACAUCCUUAUGCCCUCCAAGUGAGUAGUAGAUCAAGUUUGCCCAUCGUUCUGCUCCAAACACCCACGUAGACAUGUCCUUGCUUCCUACUGCAAAACACCUUAAAAAAAAAAAAAGGCAGUUUGCAUUAGAACACUGGUUUGAAAAACUUUUCACUGGGUGGUGAAUGUUCUGAGCACAAAGACACCAGUCACUACUUCAAAAGUAAUUUUACACACAACAGAGUUGUAAACUGAGGUUGGUGACUGCAGCAAAAGUAGAAGGGGUUAAAUAAAUUCAAAAUGUCAACCAUGCUCAUAUUCCUAAGACACGUUCCUUUUAUGGAUUACUAGGCAAGAAUCCCUUGUUGAUCCCCAAUACAUGCAUAUUUUAUACUUUCUAGUCUGCCUAUAUAUUUUUUAAUUCAAGACAGAGUUUUUAAAGCUAGUACAAUACUUAAUAGGAAAGAAAAUGGAUUGUAACAUGCAUACAAAUAUUAACAACGUGUGCAGGUAGACAGUGCUUUAGUUUAACAACUCACUUGGAAUCAUCAGUCCAGUCAAUACAAGUUGUUUCAUCAUAUGGACCAUAGUAGGUUUUGUCCAGAACAAAUGCAUUGAAUUCUCGUUUCUUCCCAGGAGCAUGGUACAGGUAAGCAAGGUUGUCUUUUGUAAUCACAAAUUUCCUGUCAUAUGGGGGGGGAGGGGGAAGCAUAAUUGCACACAAAGCUGUUAAAUCAAACGAACUGUUCAGUACAGACUGCAACAC